AUGGCCAGAGUGAUUUAUACCAUUGAAUUUCAAAAGUGUAAUUUGCCUCAUGCACAUAUCCUACUUUUUCUUAAUAAUAAAUGUCCAAAUACCGCCGAUAUUGAUGACAUUAUUUCAGCUGAAUCGCCUGAUAAUUUAGUUGAUCCUCAAUAUUAUGCGGUUGUUACAAAUUUAAUGAUUCAUGGACCAUGUGGUACUGCAAGAAAAUCUUCUCCUUGCAUGCAAAAUGGCAAAUGUACAAAGUACUUUCCAAAAAAAUUUGUGGAUUCAACCACAAUUGAUGAUGAAGGGUAUCCUAUAUAUAGAAGAAGGGAUGAUGGAAGAUCUACAAAGAGAGCCGGUAUUGAUUUAGAUAAUAGGUAUGUUGUGCCACACAAUAGAUUCUGAUUAUUGAAAUAUGGUGCACAUAUUAAUGUGGAAUGGUGCAACCAAUCAAAGUCCAUUAAAUACUUAUUUAAGUAUGUUAAAAGGCUAUGAUCAUGUAACUACUGCUUUUUCUCAAAGUGAAAAUACUGAUGACUCAAGAGUUGUUGAUGAAAUAAAUAUGUAUUGUGAUUGUCGGUAUGUAUCGCCAUGUGAACCAGCUUGGAGAAUUUUUAAAUUCCCAAUCCAUCAUAGAGAACCAUCUGUAGAAAGGUUAUCCUUUCAUCUGGAUGGCAAUCAAAAUGUCAUAUUUUCAGAUGAUGAUCCGAUUGAUGCAGUAGUUAACAGACCAACCGUAAAGAAAUCAAUGUUUUUAAAGUGGUUUGAAGCAAAUACGGAAUUUCCUAAAGCAAGAGAGCUAACAUAUGCAGAAUUUCCUCUAAAGUUUAUGUGGAAUCAACAAUUGAAGAAAUGGGAAAAAAGACAAACUUCUGCAUUUUCUAUUGGCAGAAUUUUCUUUGUUCCUCCGGGAUCUGGAGAGCAAUAUUAUCUUAGAUUGUUGUUGAAUGUUAUCAAAGGUCCAACAUCCUAUGAGAAUCUUAGAAAAAUAAAUGAUCAAAAGCAAUCAAGAGAAAUCCUAUUGCAACAACCACCAUACCAUCUCCGGCCACCUUCACACCCUUUUUUCUCUCUUCCCCGCCGCACCACCAUCAAAUCGGCAAACCCUUCACCACCGGAACAACAGCAGCAACCAACGACAGCAGCAGCUGGCGGAUUUGUCAUCGCUGCUGCGUCUUCAACCAAACAAUCAUCGGAGUUUUGGCCUCCAAUUUGCAACCAGCCCCGCCCCCUCUCUUCUUCUACCGUCUCUCGUCGCUGCCUCGCCGGAGGUGGUGACCGACGAGGUUCAAACCUCCAACCGUACCACCCCUUCUCCUUUUCCCCGCGCCUCGCCGGAAUUGGUCGCCGGCGGGUGAGCCUUUAG
This is an RNA transcript of Capsicum annuum, 1348 nucleotides long. RefSeq lists it as uncharacterized. The record is from RefSeq and is a predicted model, not a curated record. Lineage: Eukaryota; Viridiplantae; Streptophyta; Magnoliopsida; Solanales; Solanaceae. The transcript has 4 exons.